Molecule: long non-coding RNA, 2464 nt
Organism: Triticum dicoccoides
Lineage: Eukaryota; Viridiplantae; Streptophyta; Magnoliopsida; Poales; Poaceae
Exons: 2
Source: RefSeq, a predicted model, not a curated record
UCUCGCUCGUCGGUCAGCCAGAGCAGAAGGCGCACGCAACUCGCAGUCGAAAACCUAAUCCCCAAUCCUCAUCUGGCAUCCGGCCAUCCCCAAUUCCCCAUCCCCAUCCAGCCCUCCCGCCGGGGCCGUCCGGCCAUCCGGGCGUCCGCCGCUCCGUCCUGUCAUUCCACCAAGAAGAGACGCCGCUCCGCUCCCCUUCGAAGGAGCGCUGCCUUGUGCCUUGCCUGCCUGCUCCCUGCUGGAUCUCCCUCUACCACGAGCAGCCAGCCCGCCAGUCGCCAGACGUCGGUCCGAACUCUGAAGCAAGGCAGCAAGCACUCGGCGCCGCGGGCCGCCGAUCCGGAGCCCGGAGGAGAUGACGGGCUGUUGCCCAAGCUCCUGAAUGGCUGAUUCCCCCUGAAUCCCUAGUUUCUGACGCCCUUUGGCCUUUGGAAUCGAAGAUGAAGAGGAAUGGUGACAUUAAGUCCUUUUUUCAGAAUUAUGAGGCUGCUAAAAGAAGGAAGGUUGCAACCGAAGAGCAACCUGAAGAUAUAGUGUCAAAUAUUGAAGAUGAAGCAGUCCAUUCUCCACCUCGAGUCCAUUCUGCAGGAAUUGAAUUUGAUAUUGGAGAUGAAGCAGUCCAUUCCGAUGCAGAGAUUGAAAGUGAUAGUGAAGAUGAAGCAGUCCAUUCUCCGUGUGCAAGGCCAUAUAAUAUUCAAAGGCUUCCUCCUGAUCCAGGGUAGAGGAUUCCUAUUUCAGAGUAUGAUGUUGAUGAUCAAGAUGAAGUUCGGAGACGAUACAUUGCAAAGCAAGCAGUCCAACCAUAUGCACACAACUUUUAAGUCAGGAAAAUCUAUGGUAAAAAUCGACACUUCAACUUUGUUUGGUUUGAGACCUACAAAUGGUUAGAAUAUAGUGUCAAAUACGAGGCAGCAUUUUGCUUUGUGUGUUAUUUGUUCAAAGGGAAAUCUAAUGGGGGCCUAGGGGUGAUGCCUUUGUUAAUGGUGGUUGGAAAAAUUGGUAUAAGCCCGAUGCAUUGGUCAAACAUGUUGGUGGUUUUAAUAGCAUUCACAACAAAGCUCAAGAGAAGUACAAUUUAUUUGUGGCAGCCCAACCAUCAAUUGAUAACAUUAUGGUGAGGGUGGAUAAAGAGGAUUUGCGUAUGUACAAGGCUAGGCUGACUUAUUCACUUAGAUGCUUGAGGUUUCUUUUGAACCAAGGAUUGGCAUUUCGUGGACAUGAUGAGAGUGAAGAAUCUAGCAAUAGGGGGAACUUUCUUGAACUUCUUAAAUGGCUUUUAGAAAAUAAUGAAGAAGUUAAUAAACUUGUUUUGAACAAUGCUUCUAGGAAUUGCAUCUUGACUAGUCCAAAGAUACAAAAUCAAAUAAUUGAAUGUUGUGCGGCGCAAACAACUAAAAGAAUUAUUGAAGAUAUUGGUGAUGACCACUAUGCAAUCCUGGCUGAUGAGUCUAGUGAUGCAUCUCAUAAAGAACAACUUGCUCUCUGCAUACGAUUUGUUGACAAAUCGGGAAGAGGAUGUGAGAGGUUCCUUGGAGUUGUUCAUGUUGCCAAUACAACUUCAUUGUCACUUAAGGAUGCAAUUCAAACUUUGCUUAAAGAUCAUCAUUUGACUCCUAGUCAAAUACGUGGCAAGGAUAUGAUGGGGCUAGCAACAUGAAAGGGGAGAUCAAAGGGUUGAAAACAUUGAUCAUGAAAGAGUCACCCUCUGCCUAUUACAUCCAUUGUUUUGCACAUCAACUUCAGUUGGUUCUCAUAGCUGUGGCAAAGGACAAUGAACCAUGUUUGUGGUUCUUUGACCACGUUUCUUACUUGCUCAAUAUUGUUGGAGUUUCUUGUAAGCGCCACGACAUGCUUCGAGAUGUUAGAGCUCAAAAGGUGUUGGAAGCACUUGAAAUGGGUGAGAUUGAAAGUGGAAGUGGGCUAAAUCAAGAGAUGGGACUAGCUAGACCCGGCGACACUCGUUGGGGUUCUCAUUUUAAAACCAUUAUGCACAUUGUUAGCAUGUAUUCCACAAUCCUUGAAGUACUUGAUGCUAUUGGAAAAGAUCCUUCACAAAAAAGUGAGUGGACAAGAAUACGUGGAGUUGCUCAAGCCUUUGAAUCAUUUGACUUUGUUUUCAAUCUUCACUUGAUGCUUGUUAUUCUUGGCUAUACAAAUGAGUUGUCCAAAUCUUUGCAAAAGAGAGAUCAAUGAAUCUAGUGAAAAAUAAGUUGAGGACUACUAUGAGUGAUGAUCGCUUGAAUGAUUGCUUGGUGACAUUUAUUGAACGGGAUGUGUUCAUGGAAGUAAGCAAAGAUGACAUAGUUGAUGCUUUCAUGGCAAUGCAAAAACGUAGAGUUACUUAGUGAUGUAAUUUUCUACUUGUGCUUCUUUAAUGUAAGACUAGUAUUGUAAUUGAGCACAUCUGAGAUAUAUUUUGUGAACUAAAUUGUUAUGAGAUUUGCAUUAAGAUACUCAUGUAUUA